GAAGUUUAGCGCAGUUGGUAGAGCACCUGCCUUACAAGCAGGCGGUCGUAGGUUCGAGUCCUACAACUUCC
This 71-nucleotide transfer RNA is filed under the name human gut metagenome. It matches the Rfam family "tRNA". Rfam says of the family: Transfer RNA (tRNA) molecules are approximately 80 nucleotides in length. Their secondary structure includes four short double-helical elements and three loops (D, anti-codon, and T loops). Further hydrogen bonds mediate the characteristic L-shaped molecular structure. tRNAs have two regions of fundamental functional importance: the anti-codon, which is responsible for specific mRNA codon recognition, and the 3' end, to which the tRNAs corresponding amino acid is attached (by aminoacyl-tRNA synthetases). tRNAs cope with the degeneracy of the genetic code in two manners: having more than one tRNA (with a specific anti-codon) for a particular amino acid; and 'wobble' base-pairing, i.e. permitting non-standard base-pairing at the 3rd anti-codon position. The record is from RNAcentral.